RNAcentral lists this small RNA (21 nucleotides) under Arabidopsis thaliana (thale cress). RNAcentral's name for it is "ATSL125690". Lineage: Eukaryota; Viridiplantae; Streptophyta; Magnoliopsida; Brassicales; Brassicaceae. The record is from RNAcentral.
UUUUUUUUCUGCUUUUUUUUU